This 412-nucleotide ribosomal RNA is filed under the name uncultured bacterium. Its description in RNAcentral is "bacterial SSU rRNA". It matches the Rfam family "Bacterial small subunit ribosomal RNA", at positions 505 to 916 of the family's 1533-position model. The record is from RNAcentral.
GUGUCAGCAGCCGCGGUAAUACGUAGGGAGCGAGCGUUGUCCGGAUUUACUGGGUGUAAAGGGUGCGUAGGCGGCUCUGCAAGUCAGGUGUGAAAACCAUCGGCUUAACUGAUGGACUGCAUUUGAAACUGUGGGGCUUGAGUGGAGUAGAGGCAGACGGAAUUCCCGGUGUAGCGGUGAAAUGCGUAGAGAUCGGGAAGAACACCAGUGGCGAAGGCGGUCUGCUGGGCUCUAACUGACGCUGAGGCACGAAAGCAUGGGUAGCAAACAGGAUUAGAUACCCUGGUAGUCCAUGCCGUAAACGAUGAUUACUAGGUGUGGGGAGUCUGACCCUCUCCGUGCCGGAGUUAACACAAUAAGUAAUCCACCUGGGAAGUACGACCGCAAGGUUGAAACUCAAAGAAAUUGACGG